AGAGUUUGAUCAUGGCUCAGAACGAACGCUGGCGGCAUGCCUAACACAUGCAAGUCGAACGAAGGCUUCGGCCUUAGUGGCGCACGGGUGAGUAACACGUGGGAACCUGCCUUUCGGUUCGGAAUAACGUCUGGAAACGGACGCUAACACCGGAUACGUCCUUCGGGAGAAAGUUUACGCCGAGAGAGGGGCCCGCGUCGGAUUAGGUAGUUGGUGUGGUAACGGCGCACCAAGCCGACGAUCCGUAGCUGGUCUGAGAGGAUGAUCAGCCACACUGGGACUGAGACACGGCCCAGACUCCUACGGGAGGCAGCAGUGGGGAAUAUUGGACAAUGGGCGCAAGCCUGAUCCAGCAAUGGCCGCGUGAGUGAUGAAGGCCUUAGGGUUGUAAAGCUCUUUCGCACGCGACGAUGAUGACGGUAGCGUGAGAAGAAGCCCCGGCUAACUUCGUGCCAGCAGCCGCGGUAAUACGAAGGGGGCUAGCGUUGUUCGGAAUUACUGGGCGUAAAGGGCGCGUAGGCGGCCUGUUUAGUCAGAAGUGAAAGCCCCGGGCUCAACCUGGGAAUAGCUUUUGAUACUGGCAGGCUUGAGUUCCGGAGAGGAUGGUGGAAUUCCCAGUGUAGAGGUGAAAUUCGUAGAUAUUGGGAAGAACACCGGU
RNAcentral lists this ribosomal RNA (658 nucleotides) under uncultured Azospirillum sp. RNAcentral's name for it is "bacterial SSU rRNA". It matches the Rfam family "Bacterial small subunit ribosomal RNA", at positions 8 to 713 of the family's 1533-position model. The record is from RNAcentral. Lineage: Bacteria; Pseudomonadati; Pseudomonadota; Alphaproteobacteria; Rhodospirillales; Azospirillaceae.